Molecule: ribosomal RNA, 788 nt
Filed under: Morchella sp.
Lineage: Eukaryota; Fungi; Ascomycota; Pezizomycetes; Pezizales; Morchellaceae
Description: partial large subunit ribosomal RNA
Rfam family: Eukaryotic large subunit ribosomal RNA
Source: RNAcentral
UAAUUUUGUGAGGCAUCUCCGGGUAGGGCGCCGGCCUAAGUUCCUUGGAACAGGACGUCAUAGAGGGUGAGAAUCCCGUGCUUGGCUGGCUGUCCCCGUCCAUGUGAGGUGUCUUCGACGAGUCGAGUUGUUUGGGAAUGCAGCUCAAAAUGGGUGGUAAAUUUCAUCUAAAGCUAAAUAUUGGUGGGAGACCGAUAGCGCACAAGUAGAGUGAUCGAAAGAUGAAAAGCACUUUGAAAAUAGAGUUAAAAAGUACGUGAAAUUGUUGAAAGGGAAGCGCUUGAGACCAGACUUCGGUGGGGAGUGAUCAGUCGUCCUUCUGGGCGGUGCACUUGCUCCCCUCCGGGCCAGCAUCGGUUGGGACGGCGGGAUAAAGGUCCCGGGAAUGUGGCUCCUUUCGGGGAGUGUUAUAGCCCGGGUGAAUGCCGCCAGCCCCGACCGAGGACCGCGCCUUCGGGCUAGGAUGCUUGGCAUAAUGGUCUUCAGCGACCCGUCUUGAAACACGGACCAAGGAGUCUAACAUCUAUGCGAGUGUUUGGGUGUCAAACCCUUACGCGAAAUGAAAGUGAACGGAGGUGGGAACCCGCAAGGGUGCACCAUCGACCGGUCCCGAAGUCUUCUGAAGGAUCUGAGUAGGAGCAUAGCUGUUGGGACCCGAAAGAUGGUGAACUAUGCCUGAAUAGGGUGAAGCCAGAGGAAACUCUGGUGGAGGCUCGCAGCGGUUCUGACGUGCAAAUCGAUCGUCAAAUUUGGGUAUAGGGGCGAAAGACUAAUCGAACCAUCUAGUA